Picea glauca (white spruce) is the source of this 128-nucleotide non-coding RNA. The record is from Rfam. Lineage: Eukaryota; Viridiplantae; Streptophyta; Pinopsida; Pinales; Pinaceae.
GAAUAAUUUCCUAGAGGUAUUAAGUACAUUCCUAAAGUGGAUCCUAUUAGAAAUAUGCAAUUAAGCAUGCUUGGGCUAGAGUAGUACUAAUAUGGGUGACCUCAUGGGAAGUCCUAGUGUUUUACACA